Salvia hispanica is the source of this 885-nucleotide long non-coding RNA. RefSeq lists it as uncharacterized. The record is from RefSeq and is a predicted model, not a curated record. Lineage: Eukaryota; Viridiplantae; Streptophyta; Magnoliopsida; Lamiales; Lamiaceae.
UAUAACACAGUACUUGAUGAUUGCCUAAACAUUAGACUCUACAAAUCUGUAAUCUGCAAGAAUUGGUAACAGAUGUUUUUAAUCUGCCAUAUUGAUCCCUAGCCUGAUUAAAUGUGUUUUUGUAGAUUUAAUUAAUAGGUAAGUUAUUUUUGGGUGUUGAUGUUGCUUAGAUGUUUUGGAACCUCGAACAACUUAACUAAUACCAAAGUGUUCUGGAUUAAUCUAUAAUGAGUUGUUCUCCGUGCCAUUUGAGUUAUUUGGUCCGUCGUCGGCAUACGUAUGUCGCGAUGCAACUUGCAGUGAGGCUUCCACUAUUGGCUUGAUCAAAGGACGAGACACUUAUCCAUUCCUAAACUCACUUAAAAUGAAAAUGUCCAUAUUGCUUGGAGUUGCACAGAUGAACUUGGGAAUAAUAAUGCCCUGUUCUUCAAGAAUAGCAUAAACACAUGGUUUCAGUUUGUUCCCCAGAUGAUAUUCUUGAACAACCUGUUUGGCUAUUUUUCUCUCCUUAUCAUUGUCAAGUGGUGCACUAGAUCCCAAGCUGAUUUAUACCAUGUGAUGAUCUACAUGCACCCCUUCCAAGGACAGAGGAGUCUCUUCAAUCAGGGGCAAACCACAAUGAUGGCCAUGGCCACGGUCAUGAGGAGUUUGAGUUCAGUCAAGUUUUUGUACAUCAGUUUAUACCCACAAUCGAAUCUGUUCUUGGGGCUGUUUCAAAUACAGCUUCUUAUCUUCGUUUGUGUUUGCAAGUUGCAACCUUGAAUUAAUACUGGGAUGAGUAAUUUCAGUUUGUGCCAGAAGCUAAGAAAUUCUUUGUAACUUCACUUUUCAUUUUCAGUUUUUGAAGAUUUAUAUUACCGUAAAGCUUAGAUAUUGAACAAAUGC